Long non-coding RNA from Triticum aestivum (bread wheat), 935 nucleotides. RefSeq lists it as uncharacterized. Lineage: Eukaryota; Viridiplantae; Streptophyta; Magnoliopsida; Poales; Poaceae. The record is from RefSeq and is a predicted model, not a curated record. The transcript has 2 exons.
ACACAAUUCACGGGCACGCGUUUUACUACUAUUUUUUUGACAUGCCUUUUCACUUUCGACUUCCUAAUGAGCCGCCCAAUCAAUACAGCUUGGAAGCCCAGACGAGCGAGUGUGAGUUGGCCUUCUCCGCUUCCUCUCUUUAGCUGCCGCUUCUUCUUCCCCUCUCCUCCCCUCCGCUCUGCUUUCCCAGUCUCCCCGUCCGUCCAAGUCUCCAACGAUUUGUCCCGCACCAAGGAACUGCCUCCCGUGCCAAGAUUGGCCUUCUGAUUCUAGGCACAUCGGAGCUCUAGCUAUCCCUACGGGCGCUCACGUCGGAUCCGUUCAACCUUUCUGUGGAAGGAGUCAUCGAUGCGGCCAUCCCCGCUCAGCCGAAUCAGCCUGUACGCACACCUGCUCCUGGUCCUCCUCACACUGGCCACCUCGGACGCGCCGCUCUGCUUCGGGUUUCCUCGCGCUGGCGUCCUCAGAAGCACAAGAUGCGGCCAUCGCCGUCGCGGCCCCGAUACCAAUGGAACGCUCCGCUGCCUGCCUCCUCACGUUGGGGCCCUUGGUCGCGCCUGAUGCGGCCAUACUGAUCUUGGAUUUCUGGUGGUGCUUUGGAGGAUUAAUCUUCUGUCUUUUUUGUUUGAUUUCCAUGGUCUGCACAGCACUGAUCAAGAUCAGUAUCAAUGCUCCAAAGGUGCUUGCUAGGUUGAACUGGUCGAGGAUGGCAUCAACGCUUCUGCAGUUUAACUUCAUGUGUUCAUGUUCUUCUUCAGUUACUUUUUUCCUGUGCAGAUGAACAUGCUGGAACCUGUGCAACCCAAUUCUAUGUUGUUCUUCGGAUAAGUAAGGGUAUGAAAAGUGCUUCUUGAUGUGCAACCUAAUCCUAAUUAUGAAAUUCAUGUACAACCAUCUGACAGGUUUGGUACGUAAGAGCCCCACCUUUUACAAAA